This 138-nucleotide long non-coding RNA is filed under the name Chrysemys picta bellii (western painted turtle). RNAcentral's name for it is "lncRNA (ENSCPBG00000021604.1)". The record is from RNAcentral. Lineage: Eukaryota; Metazoa; Chordata; Testudines; Emydidae.
GGUGCUGCUGGCAAACCAGCCCGCAGGUCGGGUUUGUGCUUUGCGGUGAUGAAAGCCAGGUGUGGGAUCUGGAUUGCAGCUGCUCUGACUCUGAAUUUACUCCCCUCGCUAGGAGAUCCGGAAGUUGGCACUCAGCCU